GCUAGCUACAGGCUUAACACAUGCAAGUCGAGGGGCAGCAUGGUCUUAGCUUGCUAAGGCCGAUGGCGACCGGCGCACGGGUGAGUAACACGUAUCCAACCUGCCGUCUACUCUUGGACAGCCUUCUGAAAGGAAGAUUAAUACAAGAUGGCAUCAUGAGUUCGCAUGUUCACAUGAUUAAAGGUAUUCCGGUAGACGAUGGGGAUGCGUUCCAUUAGAUAGUAAGCGGGGUAACGGCCCACCUAGUCUUCGAUGGAUAGGGGUUCUGAGAGGAAGGUCCCCCACAUUGGAACUGAGACACGGUCCAAACUCCUACGGGAGGCAGCAGUGACGAAUAUUGGUCAAUGGGCGCAGGCCUGAACCAACCAAGUAGCGUGAAGGAUGACUGCCCUAUGGGUUGUAAACUUCUUUUAUAAAGGAAUAAAGUCGGGUAUGUAUACCCGUUUGCAUGUACUUUAUGAAUAACGAUCGGCUAACUCCGUGCCAGCAGCCGCGGUAAUACGGAGGAUCCGGAGCGUUAUCCGGAUUUAUUGCGUUUAAAGGGAGCGUAUAUGGAUGUUUAAGUCAGUUGUGAAAAUUUGCGGCUCAACCGUAAAAUUGCACUUGAUACUGGAUAUCUUGAGUGCAUUUGACGCAGGCGGAAUUCGUGGAGUAGCGGUGAAAUGCUUAUAUAUCACGAAGAACUCCGAUUGCGUAUGCAGCCUGCUAAGCUGCAACUGACAUUG
RNAcentral lists this ribosomal RNA (725 nucleotides) under uncultured organism. RNAcentral describes it as "SSU rRNA". It matches the Rfam family "Bacterial small subunit ribosomal RNA", at positions 35 to 748 of the family's 1533-position model. The record is from RNAcentral.